GACGAACGCUGGCGGCGUGCCUAAUACAUGCAAGUCGAGCGAAGUGGAGGAAGCUUGCUUCCAAAGCUUAGCGGCGAACGGGUGAGUAACACGUGGGCAACCUGCCUGACAGGCUAGGAUAACUUGGGGAAACUCAAGCUAAUACCGGAUAGGAUCGCGAACUGCAUGGUUUGCGAUGGAAAGUCUGAACGACACUGUCAGAUGGGCCCGCGGCGCAUUAGCUAGUUGGUGGGGUAAUGGCCUACCAAGGCGACGAUGCGUAGCCGACCUGAGAGGGUGACCGGCCACACUGGGACUGAGACACGGCCCAG
RNAcentral lists this ribosomal RNA (311 nucleotides) under uncultured bacterium. Its description in RNAcentral is "bacterial SSU rRNA". It matches the Rfam family "Bacterial small subunit ribosomal RNA", at positions 28 to 334 of the family's 1533-position model. The record is from RNAcentral.